Non-coding RNA from Cinara cedri, 203 nucleotides. Lineage: Eukaryota; Metazoa; Arthropoda; Insecta; Hemiptera; Aphididae. The record is from the annotation of a GenBank genome assembly.
GACACCGCUACUCGACGGCCGAAUACCCGUGCACGGUUGUUCGUAGCGAUAAUGUGCGGACGCCGGCACACUGUGGUAGCCAACUGCCCGCGUUUCCAAAAAUUACGUGCCGGGUAUGUAUUGAUGGCCAUACCCCGCGAGUCGCAUUGGACCCACGUACCAUAGAAGCGGUAGACACCCUUUUUGAGAGUAGACGCCGGUUA